CUAUAUGUGUGUGUGUAUGUGGCUGUGUGGUAAGAAGUUUGCUUCCCAACCACCUGGUUCCUGGUUCAGUCCCACUGCAUGGCACCUUGGACAAGUGUCUUGUACUAUAGCUUUGGGCUGACCAAAGCCUUGUGAGUGGUUUUGGUAGAGGGAAACU
Molecule: long non-coding RNA, 157 nt
Organism: Octopus sinensis (East Asian common octopus)
Lineage: Eukaryota; Metazoa; Mollusca; Cephalopoda; Octopoda; Octopodidae
Exons: 3
Source: RefSeq, a predicted model, not a curated record